Molecule: ribosomal RNA, 451 nt
Filed under: uncultured bacterium
Lineage: Bacteria
Description: bacterial SSU rRNA
Rfam family: Bacterial small subunit ribosomal RNA
Source: RNAcentral
UACGGGAGGCAGCAGUGGGGAAUAUUGCACAAUGGGCGCAAGCCUGAUGCAGCCAUGCCGCGUGUAUGAAGAAGGCCUUCGGGUUGUAAAGUACUUUCAGUCGUGAGGAAGGUGUUAAGGUUAAUAACCUUAGCAAUUGACGUUAGCGACAGAAGAAGCACCGGCUAACUCCGUGCCAGCAGCCGCGGUAAUACGGAGGGUGCGAGCGUUAAUCGGAAUUACUGGGCGUAAAGGGCACGCAGGCGGUUAAUUAAGUUGGAUGUGAAAUCCCCGGGCUUAACCUGGGAAUGGCAUUCAAGACUGGUUAGCUAGAGUCUUGUAGAGGGGGUAGAAUUCCAUGUGUAGCGGUGAAAUGCGUAGAGAUGUGGAGGAAUACCGGUGGCGAAGGCGGCCCCUGGCAAAGACUGACGCUCAUGUGCGAAAGCUGGGGAGCAAACAGGGAUUAGAUACC